Molecule: long non-coding RNA, 712 nt
Organism: Coregonus clupeaformis (lake whitefish)
Lineage: Eukaryota; Metazoa; Chordata; Actinopteri; Salmoniformes; Salmonidae
Exons: 2
Source: RefSeq, a predicted model, not a curated record
GUUUGACAAAACAACCUUCCAUUACUCCUGUCACAGGGGGUUUUAUGGCUGAUUUAAAGGACUAUUUUACCCAUGUAAUCUGGUGGUUUUGUUGUUUACAGUCAACACUGUUACUUAAUUUGGCACAUAGGCACUUAGUGUAGUAAUAUUUUUAUUAAAUGUCUUGAGAUGGGAAAACAUGUUUUUUAUGAAGAUGACCAGAAUGUAAAAAUUACGUGAAAUAUUUUUUGGACCAAGUUAAACUUUUUAAAAAUGGGUGGAAUGACCCAUAUAUUUUCAUCAAUAUAUAAUGAAUCAAUAAAUGACCAAAGUGCAUAAAGAUGGCAGAAUUCUGGUAUCACGUCAUUGUUUUAGCACGAUCCACUUAAUUUUUGAAAGGAAGGUGCGCGACAUUGUUCAAUGUUCCAAUAAAUCAACUUUUUCGUUUUUUCUAAUUGCCAGUGUCCUGAAGCUAAAAUUGGGAUCAGGUUUACUUGCUAAUGACCAUACCAAAAAACAGUAAAGGAGAGCAAUGUACAAUACAGUGAACUUAGCAAAACGAGGAAUUUGUGUUCCACUCUGCCCCGGUGUUUUCCUGCAGUCGACCAGACCCUGCAGUAAAGCGGUACCGGGAGGCUUUUGACCUGGGGACUCUGGAAGGGUGGAGGGGAAUGGGCUAGCUUUGUCCUGUUGGCCACAAUAAAUAUUAAACACAGUUUAUCAUUAAACCAAA